UGCCCAAUGCGGGAAUCGAACCCGGGUCGUUGCGGUCGAAAACCAAUGGUUUAGACCAUCCUUCCACUGACCCCCAGACUGACCUAUGAUAAGGC
Molecule: transfer RNA, 95 nt
Filed under: Cordylochernes scorpioides
Lineage: Eukaryota; Metazoa; Arthropoda; Arachnida; Pseudoscorpiones; Chernetidae
Description: tRNA-Glu
Source: RNAcentral